GGGGCCGCUGCCAAGGCACUCCCUCCGAACUACACUGCACUGAACUGACCUGGUUACGGCGCCUAUACAAGUGACCCGGGAUGGAGUACUGGCGGCAGGGCGGCUCUACGAAAGCUGCUGUGGGAGUGCUGCCCUCCACAGCAAGCAAGGGGCUGCCCUGCCCAGACCACAGCAAGAGGAGGAAGAGCUCUGCAUUACUAAGUUAAGUACCUCACUAUGACAUGCUGAGGGUUUGGCCUCAUUUUUGCCUUCUAUUUAAAACUUUUUACUUUCUAACGAACCUUAAUCUUUUUCUCAGCCUGCCUCCUCCUCCUCCUCCUUCAACUUCCUUUACCUCCUUGUGUGAAUCUGUCCGUCCCGAGAUCCGGCGAGACCAUCCCGACGUCGUAACACCCGUUUGGGAGUGGGGGGACUCAUGAAGCUGUCGGCAGCAGCCCUAAGGUGGGGAUGGUUGCGCCGACACCUCCACUCCGUUUCGGCGGAAUGUGGCUGGCUAGGGUGGCCUGAACCACUGUCUGGGUUGUUUGUCGUUCAGUCGGAUUGAGGAUCUGCCUCCCUUGAGGUGCACAUGUCACAGUGAUGGCAGAAGAAAGUGUGAGUGAAGCUGAUGUCAUCCCGACGUCGUAACACCGUUGGGCGGGGCGGGGCUCUCAUGUCAAGUCUCCCCGCGGUGCACAUGUCACAGAGGUGCAAAGAGCAUGGCCUUCUUUCCUAUCUUUUCCCCCUCCUCCUCACCCCCUCCCCUACACACCUCCUGCUGUUAUAUCGUCACCCUCAUAAAGUAAUUGCCUAAGUCAUUUUUCAGUGAUUUCCAUUUUUGUUAAGUUGUCUUAGAUAUUCAGGGUUUGAGUGUUCUAGAAUUGCCUUUUUAUUUCUGCCUAAAUCUUAAGCCAAAUGAGAUGAUGACGUUCUCUUCUUGAAAAAUAGAAAAUAACGACUUGGGCGGUUUCUUUACAAAGGUGGCGAGAUUGUAUUAGGUUUUGCACCCUCUGUUUAGGGAUGUGCACUAAUUUUUGUCUUUUCUCUUACCCUCCUCCUCCCCUGGCUGGCCGGGGAACGGAGGAGGAGCACUAGGACGAGGAGGUGAAGGGAAGCGGAGGGAGAGACGACUCGAGCACGAGGAGGCAAGAGACAAGAAGCAGAGACGCAGGAACAGAAAGCUGCUGUGGGAGUGCUGCCCUCCACAGCAAGCAAGGGGCUGCCCUGCCCAGACCACAGCAAGAGGAGGAAGAGCUCUGCAUUACUAAGUUAAGUACCUCACUAUGACAUUCUGAGGGUUUGGCCUCAUUUUUGCCUUCUAUUCAAAACUUUUUACUUUCUAACGAACCUUAAUCUUUUUCUCAGCCUGCCUCCUCCUCCUCCUCCUUCAACUUCCUUUACCUCCUUGUGUGAAUCUGUCCGUCCCGAGAUCCGGCGAGACCAUCCCGACGUCGUAACACCCGUUUGGGAGUGGGGGGACUCAUGAAGCUGUCGGCGGCAGCCCUAAGGUGGGGAUGGUUGCGCCGACACCUCCACUCCGUUUCGGCGGAAUGUGGCUGGCUAGGGUGGCCUGAACCACUGUCUGGGUUGUUUGUCGUUCAGUCGGAUUGAGGAUCUGCCUCCCUUGAGGUGCACAUGUCACAGUGAUGGCAGAAGAAAGUGUGAGUGAAGCUGAUGUCAUCCCGACGUCGUAACACCGUUGGGCGGGGCGGGGCUCUCAUGUCAAGUCUCCCCGCGGUGCACAUGUCACAGAGGUGCAAACAGCAUGGCCUUCUUUCCUAUCUUUUCCCCCUCCUCCUCCA
Eriocheir sinensis (Chinese mitten crab) is the source of this 1781-nucleotide long non-coding RNA. RefSeq lists it as uncharacterized. The record is from RefSeq and is a predicted model, not a curated record. The transcript is spliced from 3 exons. NCBI's taxonomy places the organism in Eukaryota, Metazoa, Arthropoda, Malacostraca, Decapoda, Varunidae.